GCUGGGCAUGGUGGUGUAUGCCUGUAGUUCCAGCUGCUGGGGAGGCUAAGGUGGGUGGAUUGCUUGAGCCCAGGAGUUCAAGGUUACAGUGAGCUAUGAUUGUGCCAUUGCACUCCAGCCUGGGCAACAGAGCAAGGCCCCAUCUUUA
Macaca mulatta (Rhesus monkey) is the source of this 148-nucleotide unclassified non-coding RNA. It matches the Rfam family "Metazoan signal recognition particle RNA". From Rfam's summary of the family: The signal recognition particle (SRP) is a universally conserved ribonucleoprotein. It is involved in the co-translational targeting of proteins to membranes. The eukaryotic SRP consists of a 300-nucleotide 7S RNA and six proteins: SRPs 72, 68, 54, 19, 14, and 9. The record is from Ensembl. Lineage: Eukaryota; Metazoa; Chordata; Mammalia; Primates; Cercopithecidae.